This 253-nucleotide ribosomal RNA is filed under the name uncultured bacterium. RNAcentral describes it as "partial 16S ribosomal RNA". It matches the Rfam family "Bacterial small subunit ribosomal RNA", at positions 524 to 776 of the family's 1533-position model. The record is from RNAcentral.
UACGGGGGGGGCAAGCGUUGUUCGGAAUUACUGGGCGUAAAGGGCUCGUAGGCGGCCAACUAAGUCAUACGUGAAAUCCCUCGGCUUAACCGGGGAACUGCGUCUGAUACUGGAUGGCUUGAGAUUGGGAGAGGGAUGCGGAAUUCCAGGUGUAGCGGUGAAAUGCGUAGAUAUCUGGAGGAACACCGGUGGCGAAGGCGACAUCCUGGACCAACACUGACGCUGAGGAGCGAAAGCCAGGGGAGCAAACGGG